UGUGGCUCAGUGGCAGAGCACUUGCCUCACAUGUAUGAGGCCCUGGGUUUAAUCCUCAGCA
Molecule: transfer RNA, 61 nt
Filed under: Ictidomys tridecemlineatus (thirteen-lined ground squirrel)
Lineage: Eukaryota; Metazoa; Chordata; Mammalia; Rodentia; Sciuridae
Description: Spermophilus tridecemlineatus (thirteen-lined ground squirrel) tRNA
Rfam family: tRNA
About the family: Transfer RNA (tRNA) molecules are approximately 80 nucleotides in length. Their secondary structure includes four short double-helical elements and three loops (D, anti-codon, and T loops).
Source: Rfam by way of RNAcentral